GACGAACGCUGGCGGCGUGCUUAACACAUGCAAGUCGAACGGUGAAGCCCUUCGGGGUGGAUCAGUGGCGAACGGGUGAGUAACACGUGAGCAACCUGCCCCUGGCUCUGGGACAACCACUGGAAACGGUGGCUAAUACCGGAUACGACCCGCCUCGGCAUCGAGUGUGGGUGGAAAGUUUUUCGGCUGGGGAUGGGCUCGCGGCCUAUCAGCUUGUUGGUGAGGUGAAGGCUCACCAAGGCGACGACGGGUAGCCGGCCUGAGAGGGCGACCGGCCACACUGGGACUGAGACACGGCCCAGACUCCUACGGGAGGCAGCAGUGGGGAAUAUUGCACAAUGGGCGAAAGCCUGAUGCAGCGACGCCGCGUGAGGGAUGACGCCCUUCGGGUUGUAAACCUCUUUCAGCUCCGAAGAAGCGAAAGUGACGGUAGGAGCAGAAGAAGCACCGGCUAACUACGUG
This 462-nucleotide ribosomal RNA is filed under the name uncultured bacterium. Its description in RNAcentral is "partial 16S ribosomal RNA". It matches the Rfam family "Bacterial small subunit ribosomal RNA", at positions 28 to 507 of the family's 1533-position model. The record is from RNAcentral.